UGUGUCCUCACUUCACUACUUAACUAAAUUC
This 31-nucleotide non-coding RNA is filed under the name Macaca fascicularis (crab-eating macaque). RNAcentral also lists the same sequence under 1 other name. Lineage: Eukaryota; Metazoa; Chordata; Mammalia; Primates; Cercopithecidae. The record is from RNAcentral.